AACGCGAAGCGGCGCCUACCCGCUCGCUCGCUUCCGUCCCCGACUCCCCCUCCCUCCCCAUCCUAUUCGCUCCGCCGCACCACCCACCACAUCGCCCGCCUCCCGGAAUCCGCUCUCCUGCCGCCGCCGCCGCCGCCGCCGCCGCCACCCCGGCCGGAGGCCACGCGCCCCACGCGGCCGUUCGAACCCGAGGUCAGAUCCAAACCCCAGCCCCAGGUCCGAAUCGCGCCGCAAUUUUUCUAGGUUUUGGUACGGAUCUAGGGUUGGCCGUGGAAUUCCGGGGGCGGGGGCGGUUCGCUCUGAUUCCUCCGCGGCUCGGAUUUCGUGCUCAUGGCCGCCGGGCGCCACGGAGGCUACAGGGACUACGAGGCCAGGGAGCGGGAGCCCGACGCCGAGGCCAGGGAGCGGGAGCCCGACGCCGAGGCCGCCAGGAGGAGCCAGAGCCUCGGCGGCCGCCACCGGAGCGACGCCGACCGCCGCCGCGACGGCGGGCGCAGCAGCGGUGGCAGGGAAUUCUCCAACGGCUAUGGCCACCGCCGUUCGCAUCCGCCCAAGAGCCGCCUCUCCACGAGGCUUGGGGACCGGGAGCCCGGUGAGGUGCUCAGCGGGAGUGCGUCAGACGACUCUGGUGGGAGGUCAGGCAGAGCGGCGGGGGAGAAUACCAUGUCCAGUUCUAGCAGGGAGGGCGAGGUGGCGGUGGGGGCGCCUGCUGCCCCUUCGCCCAGCAAAAAGAGGAAAUUUUCGCCCAUAAUUUGGGACAGGGAUAGCCCAAAGCCGCCGCCGUUACAUUCUGGUGCAGUUACUGUAAAGGGAGUGGUGGAAUCCGCAUCUGCUGAUAUAGCAAGUGACAAGAAAGUGGUGGAGUCCUCUUCUGCUCAACUCCCUCCCCCUCCCCCGCUGCCUCCACAGGGGCACAUCCCAGAGAGGUUGGUCGUGGAGAAUUCACCAAUGGAUGUGGACCUCGCCGUUGAUACUGACAACACUGAGCAGUUGCACGAGCUGGAGGAUAGUAAAGUGCUUGAGGUAGAAGAGAGUAAAGUAAAGGAGGAAGAGGAGAGUAAAGUAAAGGAGGAAGAGGAGUACCCAACAAUGAGGAACAUAUCAACUUCAAGGUGGGCAGGUGCUAACGAUGACGACGAGGAGGGUGUAACACUGAGGAAGAAGAAAGGCUUAUCUCCUGCAGAUUCCGCUGAGCUGGGGCAGGGUAAGAAGACUCCUACUCCAGAACUUGGGGAGGUUGUGACCAGUGAUAUGUCUGGACGGAGGACCAUGUCAAGGUCAUCUGAUUCAGGGAGAUUGGGUAACGACGAGAAGGAAGAUUUGGAAUUAGGUAAAGGUGACUACAUGGAUGUUGAUAGAGGGGAGGCUAGUGUUAAUGGUUCAGCUAAUCGUCUAUCUUCUGACUCGGAGGAUGAAGUGCGCAGAUCUGAAACCCCUGAGCCAGUGAAGCCAACUCAUCGAUGUAUCAAUAUGCUGCAAGGUUGCAGAAGUGUUGAUGUGUUUGAGAGGCUCAACAAGAUUAAUGAAGGCACCUAUGGUGUUGUAUAUCGAGCAAAGGAUAAGAAGACUGCUGAGAUUGUAGCAUUGAAGAAGGUCAAGAUGGAAAAGGAGAGAGAAGGUUUCCCGUUGACCUCUCUUAGGGAAAUCAAUAUCCUUUUAUCUUUCCAUCACCCUUCAAUUGUUGACGUUAAGGAAGUAGUAGUUGGCAGUAGUCUUGAUAGUAUUUUUAUGGUGAUGGAGUACAUGGAGCAUGAUCUUAAGGGUGUCAUGGAGACAAUGAAGCAGCCAUAUACCCAAAGUGAGGUCAAAUGCUUAAUGCUUCAGCUAUUAGAGGGUGUAAAAUAUCUUCAUGACAAUUGGGUACUUCAUAGGGAUUUGAAGACUUCAAAUCUAUUGCUGAAUAACCGUGGUGAGUUGAAAAUAUGUGAUUUUGGACUGUCUCGUCAAUAUGGGAGCCCACUAAAACCUUAUACUCAAUUGGUUGUGACUUUGUGGUACAGGUCACCUGAACUAUUGCUAGGAACAAAGGAAUACUCUACUGCUAUUGACAUGUGGUCCGUGGGCUGCAUUAUGGCAGAGCUUCUCGCCAAAGAACCACUGUUCAAUGGAAAAACAGAGUUUGAACAGCUAGACAAGAUAUUUAGAACACUUGGCACACCUAAUGAGAAGAUAUGGCCUGGUUAUGCCAAGUUACCUGGUGUCAAAGUCAACUUUGUUAAGCAACCGUACAACAGAUUAAGGGAUAAGUUCCCAGCUGCGUCUUUUUCUGGGCGUCCAAACCUAUCUGAAGCUGGUUUUGAUCUGUUGAAUAAGCUCUUAACUUAUGAUCCUGCGAAGCGUAUAUCAGCGGAGGCUGCAUUGGAGCAUCCAUGGUUCAGUGAAGUACCUCUACCUAAGUCGAAGGACUUCAUGCCAACAUUUCCAGCUCUAAACGAACUGGACAGGCGUACCAGACGGUAUAUGAAGAGUCCUGAUCCUCUAGAGGAGCAACGGUUGAAAGAACUGCAAGCAAAAGGCAACCGUGGCCUUUUCGGCUGAGCUCAAACCGCUUGCUUGGGUUUUGUUCGUACUGACUGCUAUGCUUCAACCUGAAUCAGUGAGGUCAGAUGGCUUCUGAGGUGAGAUGUGCCAUGGACAUGAAGUAUCAGAUCUUCUUGGUGUCUUCAAGCAACUGACAGCGUUCUUUAGCAGGCUUUGUGCUUAGUGACUUGUGGCCCAUCAUAGAAUUCUUUUCACAGGAUUAGCACUCCGACCAGAUUGAUCAUGAAAGCAAAUCUAACCUGCCUCCAUCGUAAGAAAUGAAAGUGGCGAAGGGGAAGGAUGCCUUUAGCUUUUCUUCAGGAAAUCAUGGACAGUAAUACAACUUGAAAGCUUAAGCUGUGGCUGCUUCAAGAGGAAGCUUGAUGGCCGCCAGCUUGUUGUACCUAAGUGACUAAAUUUUGUGGGAGGUCUUGAAGUGUGUUCAUCUGUUACUUGAGUGAGCCAUAGUGGUCACUGGUCAGUUUACUAUCCUUCCUUGUUUAUUAAUGCACCAUAUUCAUCUAACUGUUUUUUGCGGAUGGUCAUCUGUUAUUUGUUUGCAUGGAGUAUGUUUUUUGUUGAACUUUCAUUUCUGCCUUCCCCAUACGGCCGACACUUUGUUUUCUAUUCGAAAUGCCUCCUUGACUGAUGUAAAUGCCACUACAUUGGCAUUGUUUACGCGCCUCCACGAACUAGAGGCUAUUUAGAUUUAGUGAAGGAGGUCAAAAUUAGGCUGAAAUACUAGUGUUGCAUGCUCUCUGUUCCCCAGUUUGGUUAGGUAGCCUGGUUGUUUUGAUGGGCCACAUUUGGAACAAACGUUUGGCAUGCUCUUUGGGGAUGCAUAACUGCUUAUGGUUCUUGAUGUUCUUGUAGUAGUGUUGUUCUUGUCAUGGGUUUAUAUGAGCUGCCUUUGCUACUACAAAUGUUUAAUUGCUACUUGCCACUUCAUUCUGUGUGACGUUGGUGGUUCGGAGUUUUGCUUUGAAUGUGAUGGUCAAUUUCUUGCCCAUUUGUUUGCCCCUUAUUUUAGUUUCAGCUGUCUUGUGGAAGAUACAUCAGCCCAUCAGCAAACCUGAUUAUGGCUUUCCGACAUAAACAUUUGCGUAGUUACAGUGGUGUCCGGAUGCAAUCGGCGCACAGAGUAGAAAGAUAGAAACUAUGGUCUAUUCCCUUUGUUCACAAAUGUAAGAUGUUUUAGAUAUUUCAAUAUGGACUACAUACGGAUUGAAAUGAAUGAACAAACACACUAAAAUGUGCCUAUAUGCAUUCAAAUCAGAAAAUAGUUAGAAAAUCGGGACUUGAAUUACGGACGGAGGGAGUACAUUAUAACCUAUGUUGAUAACUGAGGCUCGUAGAGUGGGGUUUUUGUUGGUGGGUACACAUGCAAACGUUUUAUUUGUUUGAUUUGUCAAAGUUUUGGAGUCUUUCUUCUUUGCGUGGACCUCACGAAUGCCGUUCCAUCAUGAAUAAUUUGUUAGAUAAAAACAAAGCAACAUUUGUUGCCAAUUUUUAAGAAGUUACUGUUUUUUCUAUUUUUUUCGGAUUUUACUGCUUAUCCAAGGUGCAUGUGUGCCCGGGAUCAUAAUUGCACUUUAAGGGCUCGUCACCUUACGGAAGAGCAAGACGCUUUUGGAUGCUAUAUACCUCUUGUAACGAGCAGCCUGAUAUCGCUCGCUCGCUGGACGUGAACUGCCAUAGUGCCAUUCAGUGUCUUUGUUGCACUCCCGCUGAGCUCGUCAUGUACUUCCUCCGUUCCUAAAUAUGAGUCUUUCUGGAGAUUUUGAUGUGAACUACAUACGGAUGUAUAUAGAUAUAGUUUAAAGUGUAGAUUCACUCAUUUUGCUUCGUAUGUAGUCGACAUUGAAAUACCCCGAAAGACUUGUACUCCCUCUGUUCCACAAUUCUUGUCUUAGAUUUGUCUAAAUACAGAUAUAUCAAGUCACAUUUUAGUACUCCUUCCGUCCGGAAAUACUUGUCAUCAAAAUAAAUAAAAGAAGAUGUGUCAUCAAAAUAAAUAAAAGAAGAUGUAUCUAGAUGUAUUUUAGUUCUAGAUACAUCUUUUUUGUCCAUUUAGAUGACAAGUAUUUUCGGGCGGAGGGAGUAUUAGGUACAACCGUAUCUAGAUAAAUCUAAGACAAAUUUUUUUGGACGGAGGGAGUAUUUAGGAAUGGAGGUACUAGUAGUUUUACGGGACCAUCGGUUCGAGUCGUCUGGAUUGCCAUAGUUGAGUAAUCUUGUUGCUCAUCCAUUGGCGUGGGCUUGUGUAGACUCCAUCAUUUGCAGGUCAAUGUGGAGGGUCUGGAUGACAAAGCAAGGAGCACGCGCAACUCGAGAGGCAAUUCGGUCUGGAUGACUGAAGCAAUACUACUCUCCGCUGCAGCGCACACUCUAUGUGAUUAUUACGUGUAAAAGUUCGUUAAUUAGUUAGAAUCAAAUACUUCCAUGAGUGCAUAUAUGUUGCUGAAAGAACGUUUCACGGUGA
Triticum aestivum (bread wheat) is the source of this 5002-nucleotide RNA transcript. It is a transcript of the gene named cyclin-dependent kinase G-2, with no coding region annotated. The record is from RefSeq and is a predicted model, not a curated record. Lineage: Eukaryota; Viridiplantae; Streptophyta; Magnoliopsida; Poales; Poaceae. The transcript is spliced from 9 exons.